UACGGGGGGAGCAAGCGUUGUUCGGAGUUACUGGGCGUAAAGGGUGUGUAGGCGGUUCUCUAAGUUUGGUGUGAAAUCUCCCGGCUCAACCGGGAGGGUGCGCCGAAAACUGGAGGGCUAGAGUGCGGGAAGGGAGAGUAGAAUUCCUGGUGUAGCGGUGAAAUGCGUAGAUAUCAGGAGGAACACCGGUGGUGUAGACGGCUCUCUGGACCGCGACUGACGCUGAGACACGAAAGCGUGGGUAGCAAACAGG
RNAcentral lists this ribosomal RNA (253 nucleotides) under uncultured bacterium. RNAcentral's name for it is "partial 16S ribosomal RNA". It matches the Rfam family "Bacterial small subunit ribosomal RNA", at positions 524 to 776 of the family's 1533-position model. The record is from RNAcentral.